This 526-nucleotide ribosomal RNA is filed under the name uncultured bacterium. Its description in RNAcentral is "bacterial SSU rRNA". It matches the Rfam family "Bacterial small subunit ribosomal RNA", at positions 8 to 518 of the family's 1533-position model. The record is from RNAcentral.
AGAGUUUGAUCCUGGCUUAGAUUGAACGCUGGCGGCGUGCUUAACACAUGCAAGUCGCGCGUGAAAGGACUUCGGUCCGAGUAAAGCGGCGCACGGGUGAGUAACGCGUGGAUGAUCUACCCAUGAGUUAGGAAUAACGGCUGGAAACGGUCGCUAAUACCAAAUACGCUCCGAUUUCAACUUCGGGGGAAAGGUGGCCUCUGCUUGCAAGCUACUGCUCAUGGAUGAGUCCGCGUCCCAUUAGCUAGUUGGUGGGGUAACGGCCCACCAAGGCGACGAUGGGUAGCCGGUCUGAGAGGAUGACCGGCCACACUGGGACUGGAACACGGCCCAGACUCCUACGGGAGGCAGCAGUGGGGAAUAUUGCGCAAUGGGCGAAAGCCUGACGCAGCGACGCCGCGUGAGGGAAUGAAGGUCCUCGGAUCGUAAACCUCUGUCAGGAGGGAAGAACCGCCACGGUGCUAAUCAGCCGUGGUCUGACGGUACCUCCAAAGGAAGCACCGGCUAACUCCGUGCCAGCCGCCGC